RNAcentral lists this long non-coding RNA (605 nucleotides) under Nicotiana tabacum (common tobacco). Its description in RNAcentral is "long non-coding RNA (NTAB_LNC013756)". The record is from RNAcentral. Lineage: Eukaryota; Viridiplantae; Streptophyta; Magnoliopsida; Solanales; Solanaceae.
UUUGGAUUCUUUUUUCUUUUUCUUUUUCUUCUUUUCGAUUUUUUUUUUGUUUUUGUUUUUUGUGACUAGCUUUUGUUGACUAUCUCAGCCUGUUGACUCGCAUUCUUGAGGCGAGCUUCUUGUUGUUUCUAACUUGGAUUGAAUGCUGGGGAUUUUUGUUGUAGCCUUCUGCCUUCCAAUGGGUUACGGCUUGACCUUGAACGAUGUUCCUCUAUUCUACAGGCGGACCCCUAACUUCUUCAAUCUUUGACAUAUAACAACCUCCGCUCUAUAGGCAGGCUCCUGACAACCAAAACAAACAACACAAAUGAAAUUUCCUAACCCAGUUUGCACUAGUGAGGUUUGUGAGUCGUUAGCAAAAUUGUAACCCUCUGAUACUGCUGAUGCAGUGCUGAGAGUGAACUAAAGAAUAGACUAGGAUGUGCAUCUCCUACGGGUAAAAUCUCAAUUUAGGAAGUGAGUCUCCUAAAAUAAAAUAGAACCUGAAAUGUAUUCCCUUGUUAUACAGGUGGGCGCUUAACUUCAAUGCUUGAAAUGUAAAGACUGAAAUGUAUUCCUCUCGUUAUACAGGUGGGCGCCUGGAACAUGAAAUGCAAAUACUGAAA